AUUCCAUGGUGCGGGCAUGAAGCAAUAAUUCUAUUGAACCUUUCCCUAUAUUCAUAUAAACUCUCAUCAAGAUUCUGUCUGAUUCCACCGAUCUUCUUUCUAAUAUU
This 107-nucleotide small nucleolar RNA is filed under the name Corchorus olitorius. Its description in RNAcentral is "Plant small nucleolar RNA R71". It matches the Rfam family "Plant small nucleolar RNA R71". From Rfam's summary of the family: R71 is a member of the C/D box family of snoRNAs containing the C (UGAUGA) and D (CUGA) box motifs. Multiple nearly identical copies of this snoRNA have been identified in Arabidopsis, and it is thought to function as a 2'-O-ribose methylation guide for 18S ribosomal RNA. Lineage: Eukaryota; Viridiplantae; Streptophyta; Magnoliopsida; Malvales; Malvaceae. The record is from Rfam by way of RNAcentral.